This 872-nucleotide ribosomal RNA is filed under the name Epicoccum nigrum. RNAcentral describes it as "LSU rRNA". It matches the Rfam family "Eukaryotic large subunit ribosomal RNA", at positions 74 to 964 of the family's 3401-position model. Lineage: Eukaryota; Fungi; Ascomycota; Dothideomycetes; Pleosporales; Didymellaceae. The record is from RNAcentral.
AUUGCCCUAGUAACGGCGAGUGAAGCGGCAACAGCUCAAAUUUGAAAUCUGGCGUCUUUGGCGUCCGAGUUGUAAUUUGCAGAGGGCGCUUUGGCAUUGGCAGCGGUCCAAGUUCCUUGGAACAGGACGUCACAGAGGGUGAGAAUCCCGUACGUGGUCGCUAGCCUUUACCGUGUAAAGCCCCUUCGACGAGUCGAGUUGUUUGGGAAUGCAGCUCUAAAUGGGAGGUAAAUUUCUUCUAAAGCUAAAUACUGGCCAGAGACCGAUAGCGCACAAGUAGAGUGAUCGAAAGAUGAAAAGCACUUUGGAAAGAGAGUUAAAAAGCACGUGAAAUUGUUGAAAGGGAAGCGCUUGCAGCCAGACUUGCCUGUAGUUGCUCAUCCGGGUUUUUACCCGGUGCACUCUUCUACGGGCAGGCCAGCAUCAGUUUGGGCGGUUGGAUAAAGGUCUCUGUCAUGUACCUCCUCUCGGGGAGAUCUUAUAGGGGAGACGACAUGCAACCAGCCUGGACUGAGGUCCGCGCAUCUGCUAGGAUGCUGGCGUAAUGGCUGUAAGCGGCCCGUCUUGAAACACGGACCAAGGAGUCUAACAUCUAUGCGAGUGUUUGGGUGUCAAGCCCGAACGCGUAAUGAAAGUGAACGGAGGUGGGAACCUUUCGGGGUGCACCAUCGACCGAUCCUGAUGUCUUCGGAUGGAUUUGAGUAAGAGCAUAGCUGUUGGGACCCGAAAGAUGGUGAACUAUGCUUGAAUAGGGUGAAGCCAGAGGAAACUCUGGUGGAGGCUCGCAGCGGUUCUGACGUGCAAAUCGAUCGUCAAAUUUGGGCAUAGGGGCGAAAGACUAAUCGAACUAUCUAGUAGCUGGUUCCUGCGAG